Molecule: ribosomal RNA, 468 nt
Filed under: uncultured bacterium
Lineage: Bacteria
Description: partial 16S ribosomal RNA
Rfam family: Bacterial small subunit ribosomal RNA
Source: RNAcentral
GACGAACGCUGGCGGCGUGCUUAACACAUGCAAGUCGAACGGAAAGGCCCUGCUUUUGUGGGGUGCUCGAGUGGCGAACGGGUGAGUAACACGUGAGUAACCUGCCCUUGACUUUGGGAUAACUUCAGGAAACUGGGGCUAAUAUCGGAUAGGAGCUCCUGCUGCAUGGUGGGGGUUGGAAAGUUUCGGCGGUUGGGGAUGGACUCGCGGCUUAUCAGCUUGUUGGUGGGGUAGUGGCUUACCAAGGCUUUGACGGGUAGCCGGCCUGGGAGGGGGACCGGCCACAUUGGGACUGAGGUACGCACCAGACGCCUACGGGAGGCAGCAGUGGGGAAUAUUGCACAAUGGGCGGAAGCCUGAUGCAGCAACGCCGCGUGCGUGAUGACGGCCUUCGGGUUGUAAACCGCUUUCGCCGGUGACGAAGAGUGAGUGACGGUAAUGGGUAAAGAAGCACCGGCUAACUACGUG